Molecule: long non-coding RNA, 1175 nt
Organism: Glycine soja
Lineage: Eukaryota; Viridiplantae; Streptophyta; Magnoliopsida; Fabales; Fabaceae
Exons: 2
Source: RefSeq, a predicted model, not a curated record
UUUUUCUUUAUUUUUAAACAAAUUAUCACUGUUUUCUGUUUGUUUUUGGAUUCUAGAUCACUAGAAGGCUUACUUAAAUUAGGGGGCAAAGAUAAACAUUUUUAAUUAAAAAGGAUAUGAAAUGGGGGAUUUAAUAUGGCUCCAUGGAAAGAAAAUUGUUAUCUUAUACUAAUUAUGUUUCCCACUCUUCUUUGGAAUACUAAAUGUUUGGAUGAAUAAUUUGUCACUCUCAAUUCUACCUUGAUUUGUAAGUUUGUUUUAUAGGAUUGCAUUUGAAUGGGCAUAUUUCUUCUUUUUCUUUUAGGCCGUUUAAUCUUGUACUAAGUCUACAAGAAAAUCCAAUCCUACAUUAAUUAAUUCUUCCUUAAUAAGCAAAUGUCCUACACUGCCAUUUCAACCACCAGAGCCUGUAAUUGUAACAUCUUUAUGAGGAGUUAUUGAUCAUUACAUUAGCUUUUGUAAUUCAACCGAAAGUGGAAUGGUUUGCUGCAAAGCUAUCAAGUUUAUGAUGAAGAAAUCUCCAACACAUGAACUAUAUCAGGAAUGCUAUUACGAAGCCCGUGAACUUGAUCUGCACGAGAACUUUUCCCAGGUACUAAAUAGCAGUUUAAUUGUUGGUUUUCUACCCACUUAUUUCACUUGUUAAUAGAGUUUAUGUUUCUUUUUGUAUCAAAAAGUGGUAGAAUGCCCCAACGCUAUUUUGCAUAUUAUUAAUAGAGUUUAUGUUGAAGCAUGUGAUUUUGAUAUUGAAGAGAUUUCAACAAGCAGGCUCCAUAAUUUUGCAUAUUGGAUUGUAUUUACAUAUCGUGGUGGUUUGCUUUGAUUGGUUAUUGGAGGAAGCAAAGCAAAAUGUUGUAAACGAAGCAAAACUGAGGAGUAACUGGAAAACAGGAAUAGAGAAAGUGAAAAAAGGAAAAGUAAUGUGAUAACAUGGUGGAAAGGUGACAAGAAGAGAAAGCAGAUAACAAAAAGGUUUGUGGGUUUCGGGUCCAAUUCCAAUAUAUAAGUGUGAAGUACCGGCGUCCAACUUCUAGUUCUUCAAACACACUUAUGUGGUGACUUAAAUGCCAUCAAUAGAAAUAUGGCUUCUGCUGAAUCAAAUUAAUAUUUUCAAUUCGAGCUGAGCUCCAUGGGCAUACACUUGGAUUUUUAUUUUGCAUCUCGCCUCUUUCUUA